GCUGCUGCUCUAUCUGAGAUCAUGAUUGCUACGCUUGCUUCAGAGAAUGUGGACUUAGUUGAUCUGCAACCAUACAGCAUUGUGUGACGAGCUGGCCUCAGGACCCAGAAGGACCUGGUUGUGAGUCUUCCCUGUCAUCCAGAACAGCGGUAUGAUCCUGGAUAAGGAACCUCUCUCUGCCAAUGCAGGUGAAUGAAUAUCUGGAGAUGAAAGUAACCAGGUUAUGACCUUGUGAACUUCCAAAGCUCAGAAGAACCAUCAGAGAUCCCUCUCAGCAACUCUAGUCACUAGCAGAAACCUCUGGGUCCAGCAGCAGGAGCCACAUGACCCAGCACACAUUAGUUUGACCCAGAAGCCUCGAGACCCCAUUGGAAGGAACCAGCCCUGUGGAGCAAGAGGGCAACUCAUCCAUUGUGAUGCCACAGCCUGAUGCAAAGUUAGUGAGGACUUGAUGACUCCUGGGGUCAUCCACUACAAGGUUCUCCUUGGCCCCACAUGUUACCUACAUGUGUACUCACUGCAUUAGAAUCAACUGCUAUAAGACCAAAUCUACUCUCUCCAGGGCCGUUGUAUAUGCAAGGGGAGAAGGGGCUUCCUAUUUGGGGCAUGUAUUUGUACUCUCUGUCCUCGUUAUACUUUCUUAAUAAAUAUCCCUUUG
Phascolarctos cinereus (koala) is the source of this 658-nucleotide long non-coding RNA. RefSeq lists it as uncharacterized. NCBI's taxonomy places the organism in Eukaryota, Metazoa, Chordata, Mammalia, Diprotodontia, Phascolarctidae. The record is from RefSeq and is a predicted model, not a curated record.